Molecule: ribosomal RNA, 730 nt
Filed under: uncultured bacterium
Lineage: Bacteria
Description: bacterial SSU rRNA
Rfam family: Bacterial small subunit ribosomal RNA
Source: RNAcentral
AACAGGAUUAGAUACCCUGGUAGUCCACGCUGUAAACGAUGUCGACUUGGAGGUUGUUCCCUUGAGGAGUGGCUUCCGGAGCUAACGCGUUAAGUCGACCGCCUGGGGAGUACGGCCGCAAGGUUAAAACUCAAAUGAAUUGACGGGGGCCCGCACAAGCGGUGGAGCAUGUGGUUUAAUUCGAUGCAACGCAAAGAACCUUACCUACUCUUGACAUCCAGAGAACUUAGCAGAGGUGCUUUGGUGCCUUCGGGAACUCUGAGACAGGUGCUGCAUGGCUGUCGUCAGCUCGUGUUGUGAAAUGUUGGGUUAAGUCCCGCAACGAGCGCAACCCUUAUCCUUUGUUGCCAGCGAUUCGGUCGGGAACUCAAAGGAGACUGCCAGUGAUAAACUGGAGGAAGGUGGGGAUGACGUCAAGUCAUCAUGGCCCUUACGAGUAGGGCUACACACGUGCUACAAUGGCAUAUACAAAGAGAAGCGACCUCGCGAGAGCAAGCGGACCUCAUAAAGUAUGUCGUAGUCCGGAUUGGAGUCUGCAACUCGACUCCAUGAAGUCGGAAUCGCUAGUAAUCGUGGAUCAGAAUGCCACGGUGAAUACGUUCCCGGGCCUUGUACACACCGCCCGUCACACCAUGGGAGUGGGUUGCAAAAGAAGUAGGUAGCUUAACCUUCGGGAGGGCGCUUACCACUUUGUGAUUCAUGACUGGGGUGAAGUCGUAACAAGGUAACC